CAGCAGGACAGUCAGUUUCCUGUGGCCAGUGAAGAAGGAAACAGGAAGUGGUCAUAAAGUUUUCUGCCGCAGGAAACAGGAAAACAGCUGAAUGUGUGACAGCUAGAAGGACAUAGUUCAGCGUUCUGCUGACGGAGUUGAAGACGAGCUGGAAGGAACCUCCUGGAUACUGAGGCCUGGGGGAGCAGGUGAUGCUGAAGUUGGAGCCCAAGAGGACCUGAACCUUCUGCUGCUGGACUUCAUCAUCGGACGGAGACACGGAUUGAACCAGCAGAUCUGGAAACAGAGUAACGCUGCUGAGGUCUGAUCACCAUGUCAUGAUCAUCACACUUGACCCACAGAGCAGUGAUGGAGGACCUGCACCACCUCCAUCUGAAGCCUUCAGACAUGAAGAUCAUCUUUUCUGGUACCAAGGCAGGUAUCAAUCCAGUGAAGGCCGACAGGUUUGAACACCUGUCAUUAAGACGGUUCAGUGGAUUGUUGGCUCCACACUCCAAAAACUGUGUGACAUCUACCCAAGCUGAUUCCACAAACAAGCCAUGAACAUCAAAAGAGAUCCCUCUAACCCCGUUCACCCGCUCCUCAGGCAGAUUUAGAACCAUCCACACUCAGUCAAACAGACUGAGGAACAACUUAUUCCCCAGAGCUCUGGCCAGUCUGAACUCAUAAUCCAUAAUAAUGCACUCAACACCUUUAAAACGUGCAGUAAUUGAUCAAUUGACACUUUAUAAAAGGACUGUACUUUUCAUUCCGUCUUUGUCUCUAUUUGUGUACAUACUUCCAUGUGUAAUUUAUUUUAUUUUCAGGGCUUAAAGUUUUCCGGCGCCGCGCCGGAUUUCCGGCGCAUGGAAAUGUACCAUUGAAAAAAUUUCAUCCAUCUCCGUCCUGAAGGCUCCAAGCAUGUGCGUCAUUGUGCAUUCAGUUGCUCCGCUUUAAUCAAUCAAACUCCAAAUCCUACAUUAAAAAAUAUACACCUUCUGUCCAGGCAUGCGGCUUUCUGAUAGAACUUUUAUACAAUUACAGUUCUCUAACUGCGAGUGCGCAUCGACUGCUGGGCGCACGAUAUGCUGCGCCCUCUUGGUUCGGCAUCGUCAGUGCUGCUGAGCCACUGAUAAGAAAUAACAGUAUCCCACAAACAAAAUCCAAAUUUGCAAAAUUUGUUGGUGUUUUUGUAAUUAUAUUUAAAGGGAAUUACUGGAAACACAUUGAUAUAUAUUGCAUAUUAUUUAUUUUAUUUCUGCUUGGACUGUAUACCCAUUCCACGUGUCCCAGCCCUGUGGCUGCCUGGUCUCUCCAGAGCGCACGGAGCUCCAAUCUGUGAGUGGUGCGGUGAAGAAUCGAGCAGCUGAUCACUGGUCAAUAGCGUUGGAGCUUGUGUUUAGCCCAAAGACGCAGAUACUAAAGUUUGCUCAGACUUUGUGUGACAGAGGAGAGAGGAUGUGUCUCUGCUGAUUAACAAAGAGAGCAGCCGCUGCCGCGAUCCCUGAACCGCGGUGUGUUGACUCGCCCCAUUGGCGUAAGUGCGUCAGUGGCGAUGCGCGUGCAUGUCCCACAAUCCCCAUGGUUUCGCCACAAAAUAAAAACAAACGGGCUUAUGUAUUGAAUUUAAAAAAGUAACAAAAACACAAGUUGUUGAUUUUGUUUGAUUUCUUAAACUUUAAACAUUUUCUAUGUGUUUUACAACGGCAAAAGGAAAAAAGGAAAUGGCUAUUUAGUUUGCUGGCUUUUAUUUUGAAAGGAAAAAAAAUCAAACAUCAAGCCAUACGGAUUUGUCCCAUUAUUCUACUCAGAACAUCUGUUUAGUUAAAUAUGCACAAACUGAAUGUAGCUUAGGUGAUAUUAACCUUUUUUAUUUGAGGACAUAUAGGAUGUCUGUAAUAAUGAGUUAAAUAGCUCUCAGCAGAUUUUCUGACCUUAUGCAUCCGAACGAUAUCUAGCCACAAACAAAAACUCUCCAAUCUUAAGCAAAUAUUGUUAGUAAGAACAGAAUGAACGUAUGGGUUGUGUGAAAUGAAUAAUGGAUAGGUAGUUAAAUAAGAAUGUUCUUAGGCUGCUUUCACCGUUUUUUUCUUCCCAAAAUAUAGAUAAAAAAAUAGAAACAUUUAAAUUGAAAGCCAACUGAACAAAUUAUACAGUGAAUACAUUUUUUCCCUUAUCAAAAACAAACAAAAUGUGUGUCAGUUCAAGUUGAAAAUCAAAUGAUUUAAACUAAUCACACAGAUUAUUGAGGUUUAUCAAAUGAGCAGUUACUAACAUGCGUAUAUGUGGUUAUGUGCUACAGAGGGCUUCUUAAUCAGAUCUUUGUGAGAAAUGGGCUGACUCCAGAGGAAAAGGUCAGAGUAGAAGUUCUUCAGCAUGAGCAGUUCAUUGCCGCCAGGACCCAGAUAAACCAGAUCAGGAAGGCCCGAAUUUCUUUGCUAGUUACAGAGUUUGAGAGAGUCAGCAUCAUGAUCAACUUACUUAUAUUGUGAGGCAAUCACUAAAAUUGCAUUAAAGAGUUAAUACUAGUACUUUUAUUACCUGAUUAAAUACAAAGUUGGUAUAGCAAGUGACAUAUGACAGUUUAUUCUCUUGUAGUGUUCCAGAGAAUAUUAAACAAGUUAAUUCUGUUGUCUGUGUUUUACAGUUUAUUUCAACAAACAACAUUUUGAACGUGUUAAAAAGAAAAUGUUCAGAAAAUUCACAAACAAAGCAAAAACGAAAAAAGAAAUGACUUUUUCAAACAGUAUUCUCCAAGCACUUAAUAUUCUCUUGAGACUGACACUUGAGAUAAUGUUGUAAGUAAAAAUCGUGCCGUAUGAAGGAAAGCAGCAUAGUUUUGUAGCAGUUUUGUUGUGGUUGGUGUUGUUUUGAGUUCUUGUUAAAUCUACUGAAGAGAUAAAAAUUAUUUAAAGUUAUUAAUAAUACAUGUACUUGGUUUUCAUGAUUUUUCCCCUUUACACUAAAAUAAGUCUUUGCAAUUAUAGUGAUGUGGUAUUGAAACAUCAACACAAAAAAAAUCUGACUUGGGGCACUUUCUAAAAUGCCUUAAGUUUUGGCCGAGUAAGGUUUUACAUUUGAGCAACAAUAAAAUAGUGGGAUCAUAAUGGGCAUUAUUUCCACCAGAUGACCUCAUAUUUGCUCUGAAUUAAUAGAAUCUCAUAUAUAUUGUGUUUUAGUGCGUUUUAAAACACAUUUAAAUACGUUUAUUGACACUAUAAAUUGGAUCUUAGAAGUUCAGGCUCAGGAUUUUUUCUCACUUUAAGCCCUGUAUUUUUAUACAUAUAUAUCCUAUAUUGUGAUUUCCAGUGACCACUACAACUCAUGCUGCUACUGUAAGAGACUGCCAAAAGAAUUUCAUUGUAUGUCCACGUACAUUGAUAAUAAAGAUCUUAUCUUAAUCAA
Acanthochromis polyacanthus (spiny chromis) is the source of this 3384-nucleotide long non-coding RNA. RefSeq lists it as uncharacterized. The transcript is spliced from 4 exons. Lineage: Eukaryota; Metazoa; Chordata; Actinopteri; Pomacentridae. The record is from RefSeq and is a predicted model, not a curated record.